CGACGGCUAUGAGUAAGACCCGCCCACCGAUCCCGUGCCGCGUCCUAUUGGUUCCGCCGUCCGCUACCCUUUGCCCGAUUGGUGGGAUCCACCUGUCAGUCAUUCCCGUCAGUCUCCCCUACCCCCUCCCCCUCCCGAAGGAUGAGUUGUCGUUGCCAGUCACCGAAUAUUCUCGUUCUUCGUGGUGAAGGCCGACAAUGGUGCAUGUACACCCGCACCCCACAGUAUAUUUGCGAUUAUGUCUACAAAUGAAGUUUUAUCAAGUAACCUAUCAGAGUCAAAUAGUGUACUGGAACUGCCAACUACAUACAGCUUACCACAUAUAGGUGAACAGCUGAUGUUUGAAGAUAUUGUCAGAAAACAUUCAGAUUCUGUUGUUAUCACUUCUGCCUCAGCGACGCCCAUCACAAGUAUAGAUUUCCAACAUGUGCAGAAAGCAUUUUCCUUUUGAGUCCAAAAUGACUGGGUCAAAUAAUUAAAAAGUUAAGGCUCACACCCACAUCACUCCUGUAUUGAGUAAACACUUUGACCUUCUGAACUCAACAUCAAAUUCAAAGGUUGGCUGAAUUGAUCAUUAGUCCAUGCAGUACGUUAGUACUUUCUUGAGACCAGAUCCUAAAUUGUGCCCAGUAAUGUCGAUUUUUAAAAAUGUUCAUAGAUGGAAGAGUAAUUUAAUUCCUUCCAAGUUUCAAUAUGAAAUAAACAAAACAGAGUUCUACUGCAGUCACACUGCUUAGAAGUUGAAAUCUGUGUUUUAAUGAGGCUGUUAUUUCAGCUUAUAUUAAAACACUAGAAAAUUUGAUUUGAUUUGAUUCUCCAAGCCAUACUUGUUUUAACCAGGAUUUGAUUCAGUUUGCAUCCUUGCAAAAUUUACUGUUUAGAUGUUAGUAGGAAAUAUUUUGUAAAUUUUGAAGAAAUUGAGAAUAAUACCACUUUGUUCACUUGUACAAAGGGUAAGGAAAUAAAUGUCAUGUUUUACUUAUUGUUCAAUAAAAAUCAAACAUUUA
Rhincodon typus (whale shark) is the source of this 1007-nucleotide RNA transcript. It is a transcript of the gene named shieldin complex subunit 1, with no coding region annotated. The record is from RefSeq and is a predicted model, not a curated record. The transcript has 3 exons. Lineage: Eukaryota; Metazoa; Chordata; Chondrichthyes; Orectolobiformes; Rhincodontidae.